RNAcentral lists this ribosomal RNA (477 nucleotides) under uncultured bacterium. RNAcentral describes it as "partial 16S ribosomal RNA". It matches the Rfam family "Bacterial small subunit ribosomal RNA", at positions 28 to 523 of the family's 1533-position model. The record is from RNAcentral.
GACGAACGCUGGCGGCGUGCUAACACAUGCAAGUCGAACGGUAAGGCCCUUCGGGGUACACGAGUGGCCAACGGGUGAGUAACACGUGGGUGAUCUGCCCCGCACUUCGGGAUAAGCCUUGGAAACUGGGUCUAAUACCGGAUAGGACCACUGCCUGCAUGGGUGGUGGUGGAAAGCUUUUGCGGUGUGGGAUGGGCGCGCAGCCUAUCAGCUUGUUGGUGGGGUGAUGGCCGACCAAGGCGACGACGUGUAGCCGGCCUGAGCGGGUGACCGGCCACGCUGGGACUGAGGUAAGGCCCAGACUUCUACAGGGGGCGACGGGGGGAAAUGUUGGACAGUGGGCGCGAGCCUGAUGCAGCGACGCCGCGUGAGGGAAGACGGCCUUCGGGUUGUAAACCUCUUUCAGCACCGACGAAGCGCAAGUGACGGUAGGUGCAGAAGAAGGACCGGCCAACUACGUGCCAGCAGCCGCAGUAA